GUAAUCGCAGAUCAGCAACGCUGCGGUGAAUACGUUCCCGGGCCUUGUACACACCGCCCGUCACGUCAUGAAAGUCGGUAACACCCGAAGCCAGUGGCCUAACCCUCGGGAGGGAGCUGUCGAAGGUGGGAUCGGCGAUUGGGACGAAGUCGUAACAAGGUAGCCGUACCGGAAUGUGCGGCUGGAUCAC
This 190-nucleotide ribosomal RNA is filed under the name Mycobacterium tuberculosis. Its description in RNAcentral is "partial 16S ribosomal RNA". It matches the Rfam family "Bacterial small subunit ribosomal RNA", at positions 1338 to 1526 of the family's 1533-position model. The record is from RNAcentral. Lineage: Bacteria; Bacillati; Actinomycetota; Actinomycetes; Mycobacteriales; Mycobacteriaceae.